Long non-coding RNA from Parus major (Great Tit), 4211 nucleotides. RefSeq lists it as uncharacterized. The record is from RefSeq and is a predicted model, not a curated record. The transcript is spliced from 2 exons. NCBI's taxonomy places the organism in Eukaryota, Metazoa, Chordata, Aves, Passeriformes, Paridae.
UUGCUUCGAUAGUGGGUGUUUUGUGGAAAGGACACUAUCAGCCAUUUUAAACCAGCACUCACAGGACCCUAACUCUUAAGUCUUGCCACUUUGCAGCUUUGAAGAUGUUUGAUCAUGGAAAGGAAAUAAGAAUAGAAUCCGACUGGGCAGUUAAAUAUUAAGUGUUUAUCUAAUAUGAAAACAAAUUUCCAAAAUGAAAUUAUUUGAUCAUGCCCUCAAAAAUACUAAGGUACAAAAAUAUUAAAUUUAUGUCUUGCUGUAACAUGUGCUUUCCAGACGUAUUUCACUUGCAGUUCAGGCAUGUGCUCCUAAAGUAUUUAGCUAUGCUGAAAACCACCCAGGAAUUAAACUGGAUGAAAGCAUGCUGAAGAAGUUGUUGGAGGUUUAAUUACCUUUUCUUUUUUUUUUCUCUUUAGUGGGAGUUCUGAAUUCUGGAGGAGUAAAACUCCAGUCUCUACUGUAUUGAAAUGAUAUUUUUUUAGCACUCCAAUCAUUGUCUCUACUUGACUAAGACAUUUCUGUGCUAAAGCAGGUGCAUUUACUUUUCAAGUAUUAUUUUACUAAUCAAUUGAAAAAUUACCUCCAUGAAUGACAGAAGUGCAGACCUUUGGAGUAUUUCAUUAAAAGGAGCAAACAUUAAUUACAAAUCCAGCCCAACCUUUGCAGACAUAAAUUAUGGGACGGAUCUAUUUUCUCCAUGCUUAAUUGCAAGCAGUGACUAGCUCUUUAAAUUAUUAUCUCCAAGGCAUGAAUGAAAUUAGAAUGGAUUUGGUGAUAUUCUCAAGGCUUAUUUGUAUCUAAAUAACUUGGCCAUAUACUGUCUGGAGAUAGAAGGAAAAUUAGGUGAAACACCUUUGAACCUUUCAGCAGUGCUAGCUUACCAUGAAAAAAUUGGGGAUUGCACAAUGGAAUUAGAACCUUAAAGUCUUUGCAGACCAGGAGGUCUAGAUGCAGGCUAAACAACAGGAUAAUUGAUAAUGUCCAAGUAUUUUUCUUCUAACCUAUAUUCUCAAAAUUUUAGAUGUUUGUAAUUUUUUGAAGCAUUCACGUUUCAGGCAGAGUAUUUCAGGCAGCACCUUUCCUGAAAAGUAAUAUUUACAUUUUAAGAAAAACAAGUAGUUUUCUAGUGAAGUAAAACCCCCUUCAUAUAUUAAGAAGGCUGAAAAUUUUGAUUUUGUAAUAGGCACAGAGCUGACAUGUUUAUGAUCAUAUCAAAAUCUGACAGGAAAAUAGAUGAAUUGAUUGCUCCAUUGAAACACACAGGGAACAGAAGGUGAAGUUGGCUGUGAUGAAGAGUGGGAAAUAGAUCAAGAAUGCAAAGAUUAUUUUUUAAUACAAUAAUGGAGACAUAUAUGUUUGUUUUUUAAAAAUGUAUAUAAUGAUUGCAUUGGAAACAGGAAGCCUUCUAUAAGGACUUUGUUUUUUAUAUACUACAGUGGGUGUAAACAAAUGAGUCUCACAAGACACCGUGUGUACUGCCUGACCCUUGUUUUUACUACCCUUCCACCACAAAAGUUAAUAAUUUGGCAUUGCAUACUUUAAAAAAAAAUAGAUAAUGACUUGCUUGGAGUUCAAUUUACUUGUUUCAUGAUACAGUAAAUACCAAGCUGAAUUCUCACAGUGUUAAUCAUUAACCUGGGAGAGGGCAUUUGCUUAAAAUGCAUUCUUUCAACUGUGAUGUUUUAUGAACACACUGGUAGAUAUUUCAACAGAAAUUUCAAAUAUGCUGAAGAUUUAAAUAAGUUCAAGUCCCCACAAAAGCCAAACUCUCUCCACCUUUUAACUUUUGGAUAUAAAGUUAUCCUCCAUCUCUGCUGCAGGAGCAGCCUCUGACAGCAGAAUAACAGGAGCUCUGCAGAGCUAGAUUGUUUGAGGUACAGAGGAAGCCCAGUUCAGAUUCAGAGGGCUUAAUCAUGGAAGACACCAUGCAAAGAGCAGGGCAGGGUACCUUUAAAAGGAACUCUGAUGGGAUGGAUUUUUUUUUUUAAUUUUCUACUUUGACAGAUUUCUCAGGCCCAUAGCAAAAUGUUUCUGGUACUGGGUUGAAGACUAACAAAACUAGAAGAUUUCUUGACAAAAAAUAUUCUGCUGAAAAACUGAGAUUUGUUCCAAAAAUUUGGAAAUACCUGUUCCAGCAGAGAGAGGACUUCAUGGGCUCCAUCAUUUUAAGUCUCUUGCUAUGGAGAGGGAAGAAUGAGAAAACAUAUUUCCUAGAAUUUUGGAAGUAUUAAUGUUUCCUUUCUUCUUCAUGGUAUUUCAUCUUAAUUUAAAAGUGAGGAGUUAAAGAUUGAUCUGGAGCUUGGGAAAAGCAUUCAAGCAGAGGACCACGGGGGACAGAGUGAACCCUUUACCCAUAUUGCUUGAGAAAGGCACUGCUUGGCAAUAUAUUCCUGGGAGUGAUAAUAUCAUAGGUAACCUAUUUGCUCUGGAAUCUAAACCAGAGCACCACACUUAAACGAGCUGCACCUACAGUGAAGGAAAAUAUAUUAUGAGGAUGUCCCUACUUACACAGGCCUUAAGGGAAUGUAUGGUUUUUCAGAGAUCUGGGCAAAUUACUCUGUUUUGAUAGUAUAUCAGUCUAUACUCUGGAAUCUAUACAUUGAUCAUGUACUUCAUAUUUUUUCAGUAAGAAAAACACCACCAACAAUUACUGGCUAUAAUGCCUUGCAGCUUAUGUACAGCUUCUAUAUAAGGAAGAAACACCUUAAGCAAAGUGUGAAAGUAGCACCAAUACAAUUUUAAAAAUGUAGAUAUGUUGGAGCAGAGAAGGCAAGAAAUUAGUUAAAUGAGAGUUUUAAGAAUUAAGAUACUUUCUUCUUCCAGGCUUAUGGAAAACAGAGCUGGUAGAAUACAUACUUUUAACCAACAGAAAUUUUUCCUUCUGAAUAUAGAAUUUCAGACAGAACUUUGCUUCAAGUUGUAAAAAUUGUGAAUGGAAAUAUUGAGGAAUCAUGAUUUUUAUAUAAAUAUUAACCACUGCUGUAUUAAUUCACGUUUUACAGUCUAAAUGCAGGCAAGUGCUUAGUCAGACAUUGCCAUGCAGUGAAACAGCGUGCAUUAAUUCCAGCUGAGCAGGAGUGUGAGCAGAGCCUGCUGAGAGUCAGAGCCCAGCUCCAGAGCACCUCCUGCCACCCUGGGGUCCCAGCCUUGCAGCCAGGGCUGCAGCACUGCUGGGGCUGUCCCCUGCUGCAGGGCUGGGCAGGGGUACAGCACAGGGCACAGGUGAGCUCCUCCAUCAGGAGCACAGGUGAGCAGUUCCAUCAGGAACACAGGGUGAGCAGAUCCAUCAGGAGCACAGGUGAGCAGAUCCAUCAGGAGCACAGGUGAGCAUGUGCCUGGAGCACUGCUCCCUGUGAUCCCAACAGGGCUGAAGGGAGGCACGAUCUGCUCGGUGUCUCCAUUUUUUGUGUGCAGAAGGACAAACUGGUGUGCACCACCAAGCCCCUGGUGUGAGCCAUGGGCUGGGAGCUGUGCUGGGAUACCAGCCCAUGGCUCCCAGCAGUGCUCCCAGCAGCCCUGCUCUGCACAGACAGACUGACAGACACUCAUGGGGCUGGCCAGGGCUGCCACUCUGGGCCCUGCAAAACACAACAGCUCUAACAGCAAGUUAUCUGUUCUCACUCUGAUUCUCCUCCUCCCUUUCUCCUUCUCUGUCCAGUGAACUCCAAAAUAACAACAAAGAGUAACAUCAAUACGAGCUCCAUCCAAAUGAAUGGAUAUGGAACAGACAUGCAUCUGUUCAGUGAUUCUGAGGUGAGCUGACUCCUUUCUGUGGCACCACUUCACCUUGCCUUGUUACAACCUGGUUUAUUUUUGUGGUUUUUUUGUUGAAAUCUGACAUUGAGUAACAGAUUAUUUUUAUUAUGUCUAUUUGAGCUACACCUACUAUUGAAAUACUCACAUCACUUGCAAACUGUAAACAACCUUGUUGCACAUUAUGUAAUCCCUGUGGAUUGAACUCUUGAAGGAUAAAGAUACAGAAUGGCUUGAAUAAUAGUUUUUGUUCUGUCCUCUGACAGAUGAAUAUGAAGAAUCACGUAUUUUGGCCAAAACAACUAAUUCCAGGUGAAUUUAUGUUCUUGAUGGGAGAUCUGCCAUGACAAACAAGAAGGGUUUGAUACAUUCUAGGCAAAAGUGGAAUAUCUUAAAUUAAAAGUUGCAGGAGGAUUGAGUGUUCCUACUAACCCUUCUAUUAAAUCUUCAUAACAGUA